RNAcentral lists this ribosomal RNA (544 nucleotides) under uncultured archaeon. Its description in RNAcentral is "bacterial SSU rRNA". It matches the Rfam family "Archaeal small subunit ribosomal RNA", at positions 333 to 879 of the family's 1478-position model. The record is from RNAcentral.
CAGCAGGCGCGAAAACUUUGCAAUACACGAAAGUGUGACAGGGUCAUCCCGAGUGCCGACCGCUGAGGUUGGCUUUUACCCAGUCCAGAAAGCUGGGGGAAUAAGGAGAGGGCAAGUCUGGUGUCAGCCGCCGCGGUAAUACCAGCUCUCCGAGUGGUGUGGACGUUUAUUGGGCCUAAAGCAUCCGUAGCUGGCUGAACAAGUCCCCUGUUAAACCCACCGAUUUAAUCGUUGGUCUGCGGGGGAUACUGCUCGGCUAGGGGACGAGAGAGGCAGACGGUAUUCCCGGGGUAGGGGUGAAAUCCUAUAAUCCCGAGAAGACCACCAGUGGCGAAGGCUGUCUGCUAGAACGCGCCCGACGGUGAGGGAUGAAAGCUGGGGGAGCGAACCGGAUUAGAUACCCGGGUAGUCCCAGCUGUAAACGAUGCAGACUAGGUGUUUGGACGGCCACGUGCCGUUCUAGUGCCGCAGGGAAGCUGUUAAGUCUGCCGCCUGGGGAGUACGAUCACAAGAUUGAAACUUAAAGGAAUUGGCGGGGGAGCAC